Molecule: RNA transcript, 1326 nt
Organism: Arvicola amphibius (Eurasian water vole)
Lineage: Eukaryota; Metazoa; Chordata; Mammalia; Rodentia; Cricetidae
Gene: Urm1
Gene name: ubiquitin related modifier 1
Exons: 5
Source: RefSeq, a predicted model, not a curated record
CGGAAGUUGAAGGGCGUGUCCUGCUAGCUUGGCUUCCUCAACAUGGCGGCGCCCUUGUGUGUGGAGGUGGAGUUCGGAGGUGGUGCGGAGCUCCUGUUUGAUGGAGUGAAAAAACAUCAAGUCACCUUGCCUGAGCAAGAGGGACCCUGGGACAUCCGGAACCUCCUUGUCUGGAUCAAGAAGAACUUGCUAAAAGAGCGGCCAGAGCUGUUCAUCCAGGGAGAGAGUGUGCGGCCAGGAAUUCUGGUGCUGAUUAAUGAUGCCGACUGGGAACUGCUGGUCAGUACCUCCUGUGACACUCUUCCCUAGCCCCUGCCUUCAAUGAGAAAUGCGGCUUCAGUGGGAAACCCUGGGCCUCUGAGCAGUCCAGGGGGAGCUGGACUACCAGCUGCAGGACCAGGACAGCAUCCUCUUCAUCUCCACACUGCACGGCGGCUGAGGGCUCCUCUGUGAGCCCAAGCACCUUUGUAAGGGGAGCACAGGACAACCACACCUCUCCUUGGGCCCUGCUUCCAGGUCCUCAGUCCCCCUUGGCUGCUUCCUUCUCUGCUGUACCCCUGAGCUCCCUCUAGGCAGGGAAAAGAGGCCAGGUGCUAAAAAUGAGCCUUUCUGGGCAAAGAACGUGAGCAGGGAGGGAGAGCAGACGCCUGAGCCCAGCACUCCUUCCCGCAGAGGUGGGGGAGGGUGCUCCUGUAAUAUUUCAGGAGUGAAGGGGGCUCUAUGCCCAGGUGACCCAGCUGCUUGCCACUCCUGUGUCUUGGUAUAUCUAAGCACUGAGUGACUGCCUGAAAGGCAUCUUCAUGGGAAAGAUGGAUGAACUGGAGUAACUGAUGAGAAGCCCCUCUCUUGCCAAAGAUUAGAGGGGCCUCCGCCUCAGUUUCCCCAUCUGGACACUGAAGACUCUGCUUGUCCCCCACUGAUGUCAUUAUGGAACCCCAGCUGGGGUCCCCUAUUCACUGCUCACCUCCCUCCCCUCCACCCAGCAGCUGCUCUCCUAGCCACACCCCUCCCCCCAAGCCCUUGACCCUGGCUGGCCUCCCUGCUACAUAAGCUACCAGAUGGGCUCCUGAGACACUUUCCAGACUGCCUACAACUCAUUCUGCUAGGGAGAGAAUGUAAGGAAGUAACCUAACCUUAGACAGCAGGCAGGGCCUCCAUGUGUAUGUAACUCCUAGCUUCCUGAAACAAGCAAGGUUUAAAUGUGCAGCACAGCACCUGGUAGACAGAGGAUUGUGCCCCCCUUUCCUCCAUCCCUUCUGGAAAUCUGGGGACCUUGUGCCUACAGCAGCUGGCCUUGGGCAAAUAAAAAGACUAGGUUUUUUACUA